UACGUAGGGUGCAAGCGUUGUCCGGAAUUAUUGGGCGUAAAGAGCUCGUAGGCGGUCUGUCGCGUCGGCUGUGAAAUCCCGGAGCUCAACUCCGGGUCUGCAGUCGAUACGGGCAAACUGGAGUACUGCAGGGGAGACUGGAAUUCCUGGUGUAGCGGUGAAAUGCGCAGAUAUCAGGAGGAACACCGGUGGCGAAGGCGGCCUUCUGGACAGUGACUGACGCUGAGACGCGAAAGCGUGGGGAGCAAACAGG
This 253-nucleotide ribosomal RNA is filed under the name uncultured bacterium. RNAcentral's name for it is "partial 16S ribosomal RNA". It matches the Rfam family "Bacterial small subunit ribosomal RNA", at positions 524 to 776 of the family's 1533-position model. The record is from RNAcentral.